GCUCCCGUCGUUCAAUGGACAGGACAUAAGAUUGCGGAUCUUAAAAUGAUGGUUCGAUUCCAUCCGGGAGCA
RNAcentral lists this transfer RNA (72 nucleotides) under bacterium. Its description in RNAcentral is "tRNA-Arg". It matches the Rfam family "tRNA". Rfam says of the family: Transfer RNA (tRNA) molecules are approximately 80 nucleotides in length. Their secondary structure includes four short double-helical elements and three loops (D, anti-codon, and T loops). The record is from RNAcentral.